This 459-nucleotide ribosomal RNA is filed under the name uncultured bacterium. RNAcentral describes it as "partial 16S ribosomal RNA". It matches the Rfam family "Bacterial small subunit ribosomal RNA", at positions 339 to 795 of the family's 1533-position model. The record is from RNAcentral.
CUACGGGUUGCUGCAGUAAGGAAUAUUGCGCAAUGGAGGCAACUCUGACGCAGCCAUGCCGCGUGCAGGAAGAAGGCCUUAUGGGUCGUAAACUGCUUUUAUUUAGGAAUAAACCCCCGAACGUGUUCGGGGCUGAAGGUACUAAACGAAUAAGCACCGGCUAACUCCGGGCCAGCAGCCGCGGUAAUACGGAGGGUGCAAGCGUUAUCCGGAUUUAUUGGGUUUAAAGGGUGCGCAGGCGGGCUAUUAAGUCAGUGGUGAAAUCCCGGGGCUCAACUCCGGAACUGCCAUUGAUACUGAUAGUCUUGAGUUUGGUUAAAGUGGGCGGAAUGUAGCAUGUAGCGGUGAAAUGCAUAGAUAUGCUACAGAACACCAAUCGCGAAGGCAGCUCACUAAGCCAAAACUGACGCUCAUGCACGAAAGCGUGGGGAUCAAACAGGAUUAGAUACCCGCGUAGUC